Molecule: ribosomal RNA, 263 nt
Filed under: uncultured bacterium
Lineage: Bacteria
Description: partial 16S ribosomal RNA
Rfam family: Bacterial small subunit ribosomal RNA
Source: RNAcentral
GUCCACGCCCUAAACGAUGUCAACUAGGUGUUGGGUGGGUAAACCAUUUAGUACCGGAGCUAACGCGUGAAGUUGACCGCCUGGGGAGUACGGCCGCAAGGUUAAACUCAAAGGAAUUGACGGGGACCCGCACAAGCGGUGGAUGAUGUGGAUUAAUUCGAUGCAACGCGAAAACCUUACCUACCCUUGACAUGUCCAGGAGCCUGAAGAGAUUUGGGUGUGCCCGAAAGGGAACUGGAACACAGGUGCUGCAUGGCUGUCGU